This is a long non-coding RNA of Prionailurus viverrinus (fishing cat), 153 nucleotides long. RefSeq lists it as uncharacterized. NCBI's taxonomy places the organism in Eukaryota, Metazoa, Chordata, Mammalia, Carnivora, Felidae. The transcript is spliced from 3 exons. The record is from RefSeq and is a predicted model, not a curated record.
CGGGGGUAGAUGUUUAUGUUGCUACUAAACUGAAGGGAGCACUAUUUCUAUUUCUCUUUUGUGAGCAAUAAGAGUUGUACAUUCUUUCUAAGAAAAACAAAAAACAAGGGACCUAACGAAACUGAGCAGUGUUACUGUCUCUAAUACACAUCU